GUGCUGAUUCAGCAACACAUAUACUAAAAUUGGAACAAUACAGAGAAGAUUAGCAUGGCUCCUGAGUAACGAUGACGUGCAAAUUCAUGAAGCCCCAUAUUUUU
Molecule: small nuclear RNA, 104 nt
Organism: Lagenorhynchus albirostris (white-beaked dolphin)
Lineage: Eukaryota; Metazoa; Chordata; Mammalia; Artiodactyla; Delphinidae
Source: RefSeq, a predicted model, not a curated record